AUGUGUUUCUUGAGAUAUCACUUACCUUUCAAACAAGUAGCAGUUGAGUUUCGGUCGUCAGACUUGGCUGUCUCUGGAUUCAUACAGUUAUUCUGUUCUGGUAACCUGAUCCAGCACAACAGGUCCUCCCAAGGAAGCUCGCUUGCUCUUCUCACCCCAUCGCCUCCGAUGGGACCGAGUCAUUGCAUUCAGAGUGCACACAGUGACACCUCCGAGAGACUUGGGCUGUUCUCUUGUCUCACUUCUGCUCUCUCCCAGGCUGGAUGCACGCCCUGGAGAUGGGGAUCAGGAUAG
This 294-nucleotide long non-coding RNA is filed under the name Anser brachyrhynchus (Pink-footed goose). RNAcentral describes it as "lncRNA (ENSABRG00000018804.1)". The record is from RNAcentral. Lineage: Eukaryota; Metazoa; Chordata; Aves; Anseriformes; Anatidae.